This 254-nucleotide ribosomal RNA is filed under the name uncultured bacterium. RNAcentral describes it as "partial 16S ribosomal RNA". It matches the Rfam family "Bacterial small subunit ribosomal RNA", at positions 102 to 353 of the family's 1533-position model. The record is from RNAcentral.
ACGGGUGAGUAACGCGUGGGAAACCUGCCCUGUACCGGGGGAUAACACUUAGAAAUAGGUGGCUAAUACCGCAUAAGCGCACAGCCUCACAUGAGGCAGUGUGAAAAACUCCGGUGGUACAGGAUGGUCCCGCGUCUGAUUAGCCAGUUGGCAGGGUAACGGCCUACCAAAGCGACGAUCAGUAGCCGGCCUGAGAGGGUGAACGGCCACAUUGGGACUGAGACACGGCCCAAACUCCUACGGGAGGCAGCAUG